GGGGAUGUAACUCAUAUGGUAGAGCACUCGCUUCGCAUGCGAGAAGUACGAGGCUCAAUACCCUGCAUCUCCA
Transfer RNA from Ipomoea nil (Japanese morning glory), 73 nucleotides. It matches the Rfam family "tRNA". Rfam says of the family: Transfer RNA (tRNA) molecules are approximately 80 nucleotides in length. NCBI's taxonomy places the organism in Eukaryota, Viridiplantae, Streptophyta, Magnoliopsida, Solanales, Convolvulaceae. The record is from Rfam.